AGAAUUGAUCUUGGUCAGGACGAACGCUGGCGGCGUGCCUAACACAUGCAAGUCGAGCGAAGUGAGAUUAGAAGAAAUCUUCGGAUGGAAUCUAAACUUAUCUUAGCGGCGGACGGGUGAGUAACGCGUGAGGAACCUGCCUUUCACAAAGGGAUAGCCUCGGGAAACUGGGAUUAAUACCUUAUGAAACUAUAAUAUCGCAUGGUAAGAUAGUUAAAGCGAAAGCGGUGAAAGAUGGACUCGCGUCCCAUUAGUUAGUUGGUGAGGUAAAGGCUCACCAAGGCAGCGAUGGGUAGCCGGCCUGAGAGGGUGAACGGCCACACUGGAACUGAGAGACGGUCCAGACUCCUACGGGAGGCAGCAGUGGGGAAUAUUGCACAAUGGAAGGGAACUCUGAUGCAGCGACGCCGCGUGAACGAAGAAGGCUUUCGGGUCGUAAAGUUCUGUCCUUGGGGACGAUAAUGACGGUACCCAAGGAGGAAGCCCCGGCUAACUACGUGCCAGCCGCUGC
RNAcentral lists this ribosomal RNA (511 nucleotides) under uncultured bacterium. RNAcentral's name for it is "bacterial SSU rRNA". It matches the Rfam family "Bacterial small subunit ribosomal RNA", at positions 9 to 518 of the family's 1533-position model. The record is from RNAcentral.